CAGAGUUACGUGUCCAAGAUUUGGAAAAAUUGAUUAUAGAAUUGCACUUUUAUAAGAAUCAUGCAAAGGGCCAACAGGCUGAGUCAAACAUAAAUGCACAAAUGUUGAAGGAGAGAAGUUGAAACGAGUGUUCAAGUGUUAUAUUAGUUACCUGUUGGCCACUUAUUUAAGAUGUCAAAGGAUUUUAUGAAAUGGGAGAGGGAAACCGGUAGAAGUGGAGCAUCGAAUGGCAGUGGGGGCUAUUAUUCGGAGCAUGGAAGGAAAUUGCUGAUAUUAUUUAUGGACAAUUUAACACGAUGAAUGAAUGAUGUUUGGAGAAGAGGCUCAUGGCCAGUGAGAUGAAGUAUUGAGUUUUUACACCUACAGAUAAUAAUAAAGAACAAUUUAGUGCAUAGAUGUAAAAAUAAACUAUAUAUAGUGCAUAGAUGACAGGAUAUAGUGUUACGCUUUAAGUCACAGAUGACAAUGAGUUUUAGUUCUACUAAUUUGUUGUUUUCGUAACCACCUUGUAUAUAGCAGUGCAUUAAUCAUAAAAAUGAUGUACUCCGUACAU
Erigeron canadensis is the source of this 553-nucleotide long non-coding RNA. RefSeq lists it as uncharacterized. NCBI's taxonomy places the organism in Eukaryota, Viridiplantae, Streptophyta, Magnoliopsida, Asterales, Asteraceae. The record is from RefSeq and is a predicted model, not a curated record. The transcript has 3 exons.